This is a long non-coding RNA of Passer domesticus (house sparrow), 2516 nucleotides long. RefSeq lists it as uncharacterized. The record is from RefSeq and is a predicted model, not a curated record. The transcript has 3 exons. NCBI's taxonomy places the organism in Eukaryota, Metazoa, Chordata, Aves, Passeriformes, Passeridae.
CGAAGGAUGGCUGAUCGUGAGGAGGACACGGAGGGGGGAGCUCAGCAUGCCGGCUCGGGCUGGCAGGGCAGUUGAUACUGAGCUGGAGAGCUCGGCAGGUACCAGGACUACAAUGCUGGGAAAAUUGCUGCUGUUCUGGAUAUUGGUAUUAGCCACCCUGAAAGUCUGGAAUGGGAGAGGGAGAAGUCCUAAGCACCAACCUGGACUAAAUUGGUACCACAAUUCCAGGGUGAGUAAAGUUCCCCUGGAGAAGACUUCUGCAGGAAUUGAGUUGGAGCCAGCAGAUUGAGUGUUCCAGACUUGUGUGCAGCCAACAAGGGGCUCCUUUGUCCCUUGGGCACUGGUCAAGAAUCCCAGAUGAGGGGAGGAAACAUCACAGAGAGCCAGAAAGCUUCUGGGGCCAUAAGGAACAAGCUGGGGGAAAAAAACACUGGAAGGGAGAAUUUGAGAGUGGCUUUGGGCAAUGGGUGGGACAGAGGAAGUAUGAGAAAUAAGCAGGGAAUUUUGCUAAAAGGUUCCUUGGCUGAUUGGUUGAACUUAUGCUGGAGAGAAACUGGCUUUAGGUCAAGUCUGCAGUGCUUUUAUGUGAUUGCUCUCCCUCUGAGCAUCCCAGAAUGACAGCUGGGCCAGGCAUUUCGGCCUGUGGGCAGCAAACAAGAAAGGCAUAUGAAAUGUCUCUUCCAAGGACAGUUUCCCAAUAUGUCCUUUACAUGCUUGUUCAGGAGUUGUGAGUCUUUUUUUCCCCCUUGGCUCCUCUCUUAGGAGGUGAAUAGGAAGUGCACCCACCUCCCUGUAUCUGCAAUUUUAUUAAAAAAUGCUGCAUCAUCCAUUGUGGAACUUGUUUGGAGCUCAUUUAUUAUAUGGAAACUCUCUGGCUGUCCUUGGAGCAGAGCCAUGUGCUACCAGCCCCUUGAAAAUACAUGUUGAAUAAAUAUGUAGGUCAGAAAACAGAAAGCACAUCCCAAUUUAUUUGGUAGAUGGGAGUUUUGUUCCCUAGUGCUCUAUCACUGGGGCUGCUGAUCAGUUUUUGAAAGUAAUGUGGUAAUAGCUUUGUUCUUAGCUCAGAGAUUAAGUAAUGUCACCCUUUGCUUCCCAAAGGGCAGGUGCAGGUUAUAUAGGGAUAGAAUUCAGGGGAGUGGCCUUAAGAUGGAGGAAGGCAGGCUUAGAUUAAGAAGAAAUUCUUCCCUAUGAGGUUACUGAGGCCCUGGCAUAGGGUGCCCAGAGAAGCUGUGGCUGCCCCAUCCCUCAAAGAGACCAAGGCCAGGUUGGGCAGGGCUUGGAGCACCCUGGGAUAGUGGGAGGUAUCCCUGUCUGCGGCAGGGGGUGGAAUGAAAUAGGCUUUAAGGUCCUUUCCCAUCCAAACCAUUCUGGGAUUCUACUAUUUACUGACAUUAAUAGAUAAAAAUACCUACCAGGAGAUAAGGAUGAGGAGUGCCCUGAGAGAAGAUUUGCUAACAAGCAGCAAAACUCUCCCUGUUCUAUAAAUUGGCCAAACAUAGACCAAAGAGCUUCUCCACAGUUAUAUCAAAUCAAAAAAUAAGCCUGAACUCCUACUAGCAAUUGUUGCCCUCAAGCCUUCAUUAUGGCCCUAUUUUCUUCUUCAUCUUCCAGCCCAGAAGGAAUUGGCCAGGGAGCUCCUCCUGGCUGGCUGGUUUGUGCUGACUGUCUUCCCCAGUUGUGCUCUCUGUAGCAGCCUCACACAACACUGAGUGAAAUUAAAAACAUGUCUGGGGCUGACUGAAUCAUUCCUCAUUAGCUCAGUGGGCAGCAGAUUUAGGAGCUAGAUUUGCAAUGAACACUUAUUAGAUUGUGUGUCUUCUGGGGAUGGCUAAUUUUUUUUUAAUAAUCAGAUUCCAUGACUUAGCAGCAUAAUUAGCUAUUAGACAUACAUACUCCAUUCAAGAGCUGCUUUUUAAUUUCUUUUAAUCCUGCUUAAUCUAGGAGACUUUCUUUUCUCAUUUAUAGGGGAGUUUUGCACAGUUCUUCUGACAAGUGCAAGAUAGCCAGUGGGAAUGAGACCUGUAAUUAAUGCAUUGAAUGCUCAGUGCGAGCAGAAGGCUCUUGGAUGAAGAAGUUCUUCUGGCUCUGUCAGGUGUCUGACAAGAGGACAAACACUGUUAGUCAGAAUGGUGGUGUCUGUGAUAUGGUGGGGUUUACACCCUGCAAAUUCAUUUAAGGUAAGGUAUUGAGGACAGGAGGGAAAAUUAUGUCUUUCUCUAUUCCCCUGAAUUUUGAGCAGUCACAUGUGCUUGAUUCUGUACUUUCUCAACAAGAGCUGAUUCACUGGCUUUCUAGUAACAAAAAUAAAUUGAGCCCAGUGUCCUACCCCUUUUUGUAGGUGUGCAUGUGUUGAGGGGGUGAUGUGUUAAAAUGGAGUCCAGCUGUGAGAGCCUGAACUGUGGGAGGUCCAGAUUCAGCUGGGCGGUGUCAGAGACAAAAUGUAUGAAUGUGGUCAUGUAUCCUCACUGUGCUUUGGCUUGGCAUCGAUGAAAAGAACUUCACAGAUUCUGUGGUAA